AAAAGAACGCGUGGUUCUUUGAGCCGGCCGGCUUGCCGCCACGUAAAACAAGGCGCUAAAAGGCCGGGUUUCCUCGUGA
Molecule: non-coding RNA, 79 nt
Organism: Methylosinus sp. R-45379
Lineage: Bacteria; Pseudomonadati; Pseudomonadota; Alphaproteobacteria; Hyphomicrobiales; Methylocystaceae
Source: Rfam